GACGAACGCUGGCGGCGUGCUUAACACAUGCAAGUCGAACGGAAAGGCCCUGCUUUUGUGGGGUGCUCGAGUGGCGAACGGGUGAGUAACACGUGAGUAACCUGCCCUUGACUUUGGGAUAACUUCAGGAAACUGGGGCUAAUAACGGAUAGGAGCUCCUGCUGCAUGGUGGGGGUUGGAAAGUUUCGGCGGUUUGGGAUGGACUCGCGGCUUAUCAGCUUGUUGGUGGGGUAGUGGCUUACCAAGGCUUUGACGGGUAGCCGGCCUGAGAGGGUGACCGGCCACAUUGGGACUGAGAUACGGCCCAGACUCCUACGGGAGGCAGCAGUGGGGAAUAUUGCACAAUGGGCGGAAGCCUGAUGCAGCAACGCCGCGUGCGGGAUGACGGCCUUCGGGUUGUAAACCGCUUUCGCCUGUGACGAAGCGUGAGUGACGGUAAUGGGUAAAGAAGCACCGGCUAACUACGUG
RNAcentral lists this ribosomal RNA (468 nucleotides) under uncultured bacterium. RNAcentral describes it as "partial 16S ribosomal RNA". It matches the Rfam family "Bacterial small subunit ribosomal RNA", at positions 28 to 507 of the family's 1533-position model. The record is from RNAcentral.